GUUUCUUUCUUCUUUUACUCCCAUAUCAUCGCUUCCCUCCCUCUCUUACCUUCUCCUUCAGUUUCAAACAAAAAAACCUUCAGCCAUCAUGCCGCCAUGCCUCCGACGGCAUUCGCUGCGGCUAUAAACACAAAAACCAACGCAGAGAUGAUGAAUCUCCACAGCAGCGAUGAAGAAGACGACGGCGGCGCCGCCACACCUAGGAAAUGGAUGGAAGGAGGCGAAUCUGAAAGGGGUCGAGUGGAAAUCAUAACGGAGAAUCUCCAAAAAAUCAAGGAUUCCGCGAUGUGAAGAGCGAAUCGAGCAACAACAACCUUCAAUCGGCGGAAGUGACGGAGAUGAGCGGCGGUGGAAAGCUUUUCAGCAUCGAAGAAUUUGUAGAAAAUAGAGAGUGAUGAAGGUUCUGCGGUUUUAAGAUUCAAAGAAUGGUGAUGAAGAUCUUGCAGAGGAUAGGGAGAGUUUUCUUGGUGAGUUUCUCCCGAUUGUUGAAGAAUUAGAGUGAUUUGCAAUUAUAUGUUCUAGGUUCGAUUGACAAAGAAAUUGGCUCUAAAUCAACUCGUCGGAGUUGCACGUCGACACCGCGAUUUAUAAAAUAGGUCAUUUAAUAUAUGCUUUGCCAAACAUUCAAAAGAGGUGACAGGUGAAUCAGGUUAUUUUUUCUCGUUCGAGUUUCUACGAUGGCGUGUCUCUAGUACUCAAUGUUCAUGGUAUUCUAAGUAGAAAAACUCCACCAAGGCUCUGGUUGAACUUCCAGGGACAACCUGCUGAGGUUGAGGAAAAUGAUAAAGCUCAGCCACAUCUUUUUAGUGCUGUAAUAGAGAAGACUGAACGCCUUUACAUGAUAUGUGAGAUGGACUACAAUAAUGAAGCAAGCAAUGGUAUCAAGUUCAGGUAAGUGCAUGCUAUCAAUGUUUUGAAUUUGAGUUUUGAACAAUAUGAAGUAUGCUGAUUCUCAUGAAUGGGUGAAAGUUGAUGGAAAUUCUGCAACCGUCGGCAUAACUGAUGACGCCCAAGAUCAUUUGGGCGAUGUUGUGUACGUUGAACUACCAUAAGUUGGAGCAGCAGUGACACAAGGAGAUGCCUUUGGUGCAGUUGAAAGUGUGAAGGCAACUAGUGACGCCAACUCUCCGGUUUUUGGAAAAGUUAUCGAAGUUAAUGAAGAGCUCAGCAGCUCUCCUGGUUUAGUUGCCAUUUUGCUUCUCACUGAAAUCACUCCAAAAAGCAUUGCGGUUCACAAUGCCAUAGAGGUGGCUCGGUUUGUGGCUGCUGAGAGGCUUAUUUCAAGCAAAGGGGAACUCAAAACACAGCUUGAGAAUUUUCGCAGGGAUCCUAACAUAUCAAGGGAGAAUGGAAUCUUCUCAACUUGUAACUCACAAUCUCUCAGAUGUCGACUUGGUGAAAGAUCAUUUGCGACACAUGUUUACACGUUAUUAGAAGAAGAAGAAGAAGUUAAAGGCGAUGAAUGGUUGCAAGCAUUAGCAGCUGAAGUUAACAUGGUCAAGCUCCCCGCCCUACUGGAAUGUGAAAUUGUAGGCUAGCUAGCAUAGAGAUUUGUUAUAUUUUAAGUUGUAUUGAAAUAUAUAUUUACAGUUUAGCUAAUCAUGAACCAACCACUCAUAGGAUGUCAUAAAAAGAUGUUUGAAUUCUGUCAUGAACCUACUUGUGUUUGUUCAACAUUACAAAAACUCAUUCAAAACAAUUGUC
This is a long non-coding RNA of Vicia villosa (hairy vetch), 1704 nucleotides long. RefSeq lists it as uncharacterized. Lineage: Eukaryota; Viridiplantae; Streptophyta; Magnoliopsida; Fabales; Fabaceae. The record is from RefSeq and is a predicted model, not a curated record. The transcript is spliced from 12 exons.